UACGUAGGCAGCAAGCGUUGUCCGGAGUUACUGGGCGUAAAGGGUGCGUAGGCGGUCCUAUAAGUAUGGUGUGAAAUCUCCCGGCUUAACUGGGAGGGUGCGCUAUAGACUGUGGGACUAGAGUGUGGGAGAGGAAAGUGGAAUUCCUGGUGUAGCGGUGAAAUGCGUAGAUAUCAGGAGGAACACCGGUGGUGUAAACGGCUUUCUGGACCAUAACUGACGCUGAGGCACGAAAGCGUGGGUAGCAAACAGG
This 253-nucleotide ribosomal RNA is filed under the name uncultured bacterium. Its description in RNAcentral is "partial 16S ribosomal RNA". It matches the Rfam family "Bacterial small subunit ribosomal RNA", at positions 524 to 776 of the family's 1533-position model. The record is from RNAcentral.